CAGUCGAGCGAAUGGAUUGAGAGCUUGCUCUUAUGAAGUUAGCGGCGGACGGGUGAGUAACACGUGGGUAACCUGCCCAUAAGACUGGGAUAACUCCGGGAAACCGGGGCUAAUACCGGAUAACAUUUUGAACUGCAUGGUUCGAAAUUGAAAGGCGGCUUCGGCUGUCACUUAUGGAUGGACCCGCGUCGCAUUAGCUAGUUGGUGAGGUAACGGCUCACCAAGGCAACGAUGCGUAGCCGACCUGAGAGGGUGAUCGGCCACACUGGGACUGAGACACGGCCCAGACUCCUACGGGAGGCAGCAGUAGGGAAUCUUCCGCAAUGGACGAAAGUCUGACGGAGCAACGCCGCGUGAGUGAUGAAGGCUUUCGGGUCGUAAAACUCUGUUGUUAGGGAAGAACAAGUGCUAGUUGAAUAAGCUGGCACCUUGACGGUACCUAACCAGAAAGCCACGGCUAACUACGUGCCAGCAGCCGCGGUAAUACGUAGGUGGCAAGCGUUAUCCGGAAUUAUUGGGCGUAAAGCGCGCGCAGGUGGUUUCUUAAGUCUGAUGUGAAAGCCCACGGCUCAACCGUGGAGGGUCAUUGGAAACUGGGAGACUUGAGUGCAGAAGAGGAAAGUGGAAUUCCAUGUGUAGCGGUGAAAUGCGUAGAGAUAUGGAGGAACACCAGUGGCGAAGGCGACUUUCUGGUCUGUAACUGACACUGAGGCGCGAAAGCGUG
Molecule: ribosomal RNA, 724 nt
Filed under: Bacillus sp. FJAT-4519
Lineage: Bacteria; Bacillati; Bacillota; Bacilli; Caryophanales; Bacillaceae
Description: bacterial SSU rRNA
Rfam family: Bacterial small subunit ribosomal RNA
Source: RNAcentral